RNAcentral lists this ribosomal RNA (465 nucleotides) under uncultured bacterium. Its description in RNAcentral is "partial 16S ribosomal RNA". It matches the Rfam family "Bacterial small subunit ribosomal RNA", at positions 28 to 507 of the family's 1533-position model. The record is from RNAcentral.
GACGAACGCUGGCGGCGUGCUUAACACAUGCAAGUCGAACGGAAAGGCCCUGCUUGCUGGGUCCUCGAGUGGCGAACGGGUGAGUAACACGUGGGUGAUCUGCCCUGCACUUCGGGAUAAGCCUGGGAAACUGGGUCUAAUACCGGAUAGGAGCUAUUUUUAGUGUGAUGGUUGGAAAGUUUUUUCGGUGUAGGAUGAGCUCGCGGCCUAUCAGCUUGUUGGUGGGGUAAUGGCCUACCAAGGCGGCGGCGGGUAGCCGGCCUGAGAGGGUGGACGGGCACAGUGAGACUGGGAUACGGCCCAGACUCCGACGGGAGGGAGAAGUGGGGGAGGUUGCACAAUGGGCGCAAGCCUGAUGCAGCGACGCCGCGUGGGGGAUGACGGCCUUCGGGUUGUAAACGCCUUUCGCUAGGGACGAAGCUUUUUGUGACGGUACCUAGAGAAGAAGCACCGGCUAACUACGUG